ACAGCAGCAGCCGCGGUAAUACGUAGGUGGCAAACGUUAUCCGGAAUUACUGGGCGUAAAGCGCGCGUAGGCGGAUAGGUCAGUCUGUCUUAAAAGUUCGGGGCUUAACCCCGUGAUGGGAUGGAAACUGCCAAUCUAGAGUAUCGGAGAGGAAAGUGGAAUUCCUAGUGUAGCGGUGAAAUGCGUAGAUAUUAGGAAGAACACCAGUGGCGAAGGCGACUUUCUGGACGAAAACUGACGCUGAGGCGCGAAAGCCAGGGGAGCGAACGGGAUUAGAUACCCCUGUAGUCCCUGUCUCUUAUACC
Molecule: ribosomal RNA, 305 nt
Filed under: uncultured bacterium
Lineage: Bacteria
Description: partial 16S ribosomal RNA
Rfam family: Bacterial small subunit ribosomal RNA
Source: RNAcentral